Molecule: non-coding RNA, 97 nt
Organism: Acanthosepion pharaonis
Lineage: Eukaryota; Metazoa; Mollusca; Cephalopoda; Sepiida; Sepiidae
Source: the annotation of a GenBank genome assembly
UUGACACCGUUUCGUGUACGAUCACCGAAGUUAAACUAACACUGAGCCUGGUGAGUAACUAGAUGGGUGACCGCUUGGGAAUACCAGGUGCUGUAAG